AACGCACAUUGCGCCCAUUAGUAUUCUAGUGGGCAUGCCUGUUCGAGCGUCAUUAAGUCCACUUAAGCCUAGCUUAGUGUUGGGAGACUGCUCCAGUGGUGCUACCCUGUAGCUACCCUGCAGCUCCUUAAAGACAGCGGCGGAGUCGUGUUAUCCUCUGAGCUUAGUAAAUCAUUCUAGCUUUCGAGUACAACACUUCACCUGCCGUUAAACCACCAAAUUUUUUAUGGUUGACCUCGGAUCAGGUAGGAAUACCCGCUGAACUUAA
This 268-nucleotide unclassified non-coding RNA is filed under the name uncultured fungus. Its description in RNAcentral is "sequence contains ITS2". Lineage: Eukaryota; Fungi. The record is from RNAcentral.